GACGGAGGAGGCAAGCGUUAUCCGGAAUUAUUGGGCGUAAAGCGUCCGUAGGUGGCACUUCAAGUCUGCGGUCAAAGACCGGGGCUUAACCCUGGAAAGGCCGUGGAAACUGAAGUGCUAGAGUGCAGUAGGGGUAGAGGGAAUUCCCGGUGUAGCGGUGAAAUGCGUAGAGUAUCGGAUAAGGAGACCGGUAGGCGAAGGCUAGUGCUCGUG
This 213-nucleotide ribosomal RNA is filed under the name uncultured bacterium. RNAcentral describes it as "partial 16S ribosomal RNA". It matches the Rfam family "Bacterial small subunit ribosomal RNA", at positions 524 to 733 of the family's 1533-position model. The record is from RNAcentral.